AGCCACCAGUGAGGAUUGAACUCACGACCACUGGCUUACGAGCCCAUUGCUUUUCCCACUGAGAUAUGGUGGC
Araneus ventricosus is the source of this 73-nucleotide non-coding RNA. NCBI's taxonomy places the organism in Eukaryota, Metazoa, Arthropoda, Arachnida, Araneae, Araneidae. The record is from the annotation of a GenBank genome assembly.